RNAcentral lists this long non-coding RNA (449 nucleotides) under Trifolium pratense (red clover). RNAcentral's name for it is "long non-coding RNA (TPRA_LNC010630)". The record is from RNAcentral. Lineage: Eukaryota; Viridiplantae; Streptophyta; Magnoliopsida; Fabales; Fabaceae.
GGUUUCUAUAACUACAGAUUUUUAUUCCUAUGAAUGAUGAGGGAGCACAUUGGUUUUUGGUGGUUGUUGAUUUUAGUGAAAGAAAAGUUUUUUGGUUGGACUCUUUACCUACAGAUGAAAGAUAUCAUCAUAGACGUCAUUCAAUUAUUAGAUUGGUAUGCAUGUGAUCUAUACUUUGUUUUACAUCCAAAUUUAUUGUUUGCUUUUUAAGAAUUGCUAAUUUUAUAUUUACUAUUGUGGCAGGUUGUCAAGCUUGAGGAAAUCCUGCUUCUUCCUUCUUUUGUAAAUGUUGUCAAUCUAGUUGGUCGUGAUAACCUAAUCACAAACUUCACAAAGAUUGAACCUACGUGCCUCCCGCAUCAGCGACCUAGAUCGUAAGUAUUAUUAACCCCUAUCUUUAUUUAUUAUUUAUUUAUUAUUUUACUUAAACUACCUUUUAGUGUGAUACU